AUGCAUGUCUAAGUAUAAGCAACUAUACUGUGAAACUGCGAAUGGCUCAUUAAAUCAGUUAUCGUUUAUUUGAUAGUACCUUACUACUUGGAUAACCGUGGUAAUUCUAGAGCUAAUACAUGCUAAAAACCCCGACUUCGGAAGGGGUGUAUUUAUUAGAUAAAAAACCAAUGCCCUCCGGGGCUCUCUGGUGAUUCAUAAUAACUAAACGAAUCGCAUGGCCUUGCGCCGGCGAUGGUUCAUUCAAAUUUCUGCCCUAUCAACUUUCGAUUGUAGAGUAGUGGUCUACAAUGGUUUCAACGGGUAACGGGGAAUUAGGGUUCGACUCCGGAGAGGGAGCCUGAGAAACGGCUACCACAUCCAAGGAAGGCAGCAGGCGCGCAAAUUACCCAAUCCCGACACGGGGAGGUAGUGACAAUAAAUACUGAUACAGGGCUCUUUUGGGUCUUGUAAUUGGAAUGAGUACAAUUUAAAUCCCUUAACGAGGAACAACUGGAGGGCAAGUCUGGUGCCAGCAGCCGCGGUAAUUCCAGCUCCAGAAGCGUAUAUUAAAGUUGUUGCAGUUAAAAAGCUCGUAGUUGAACCUUGGGCCUGGCUGGCCGGUCCGCCUCACCGCGUGCACUGGUCCGGCCGGGCCUUUCCUCCUGGGGAUCCGCAUGCCCUUCACUGGGUGUGCCGGGGAACCAGGACUUUUACUUUGAAAAAAUUAGAGUGUUCAAAGCAGGCCUUUGCUCGAAUACAUUAGCAUGGAAUAAUAGAAUAGGACGGCUUUCCUAUUUUGUUGGUUUCUAGGGAAGCCGUAAUGAUUAAUAGGGAUAGUCGGGGGCAUCAGUAUUCAAUUGUCAGAGGUGAAAUUCUUGGAUUUAUUGAAGACUAACUACUGCGAAAGCAUUUGCCAAGGAUGUUUUCAUUAAUCAGGGAACGAAAGUUAGGGGAUCGAAGACGAUCAGAUACCGUCGUAGUCUUAACCAUAAACUAUGCCGACUAGGGAUCGGGCGAUGUUACUAUCUUGACUCGCUCGGCACCUUACGAGAAAUCAAAAGUUUUUGGGUUCUGGGGGGAGUAUGGUCGCAAGGC
RNAcentral lists this ribosomal RNA (1077 nucleotides) under Apiosporina morbosa. RNAcentral describes it as "SSU rRNA". It matches the Rfam family "Eukaryotic small subunit ribosomal RNA", at positions 51 to 1137 of the family's 1831-position model. The record is from RNAcentral. Lineage: Eukaryota; Fungi; Ascomycota; Dothideomycetes; Venturiales; Venturiaceae.